Molecule: long non-coding RNA, 367 nt
Filed under: Mytilus galloprovincialis (Mediterranean mussel)
Lineage: Eukaryota; Metazoa; Mollusca; Bivalvia; Mytilida; Mytilidae
Source: RNAcentral
AUUCAACAGCAUAGUGAAUUGCUCAAAGGCAAAAAAAAAAUUUUUAAGUUCAUUAGACCACAUUCAUUCUGUGUCAGAAACCUAUGCUGUGUCAACUAUUUAAUUUUAGAUUUAAAUAAGUUUGAAGAAGAAAUCUUUAAUUGAUUUGUAAAAUCUUGACAUUUGUUUUGUGUAAAAAAAACCAUGUAAUGUCAAAAAUUUGAUCACAAUCCAAAUUCAGAGCUGUAUCACGCUUGAAUGUUUUGUCCAUACUUGCCCCAACUGUUCAGGGUUCGACCUCUGCGGUCGUAUAAAGCUGCGCCCUGCGGAGCACCUGGUUGGUUAUUAUCUUGAAUAUUAUUAUAGAUAGAGAUAAACUGUAAACAGC